CAGAGCCUGGGAUGCUCGAUAACCUAUUAUUUUGAACCUACAGACGCGAAACGGGAGUCCUAUUUAUACACACAGCCUACGUCGUGCCGUCUCGAACGGAAGACGGAAUCUCUGUUGCGGACACCCACCUAGCCUUUAGGCUAGGUGUCAAAAUAUAGGACCGGCACUCCGGGUUAUUU
This 179-nucleotide non-coding RNA is filed under the name Clostridiales bacterium. RNAcentral describes it as "6S RNA". It matches the Rfam family "6S / SsrS RNA". Rfam says of the family: E. coli 6S RNA was the first non coding RNA to be sequenced, but its function was unknown until recently. It consists of 184 nucleotides that fold into an extended hairpin structure with a large single-stranded internal bulge. Lineage: Bacteria; Bacillati; Bacillota; Clostridia; Eubacteriales. The record is from RNAcentral.